CAGCGGCCCUAGUGGGGAUCAUAUUUAUUGGGCCUAAAGCGUCCGUAGCUGGUUGGAUAAAUCUCUUGUGAAAUCGUGGAGCUUAACUUCACGGCAUGCAGGGGACACUAUUCGACUAGGAACCGGGAGAAGUAAGAGGUAUUCUGGGGGGAGCGGUAAAAUGCUAUAAUCCUCGGAGGACCACCGAUAGCGAAGGCAUCUUGCUAGAACGGAUUCGACAGUGAGGGACGAAAGCCAGGGGAGCGAACCGGAUUAGAUACCCGAGUAGUCC
This 271-nucleotide ribosomal RNA is filed under the name uncultured archaeon. Its description in RNAcentral is "partial 16S ribosomal RNA". It matches the Rfam family "Archaeal small subunit ribosomal RNA", at positions 477 to 747 of the family's 1478-position model. The record is from RNAcentral.